GGGCGUGUAGUUUAGUGGUAUAACAUCCGCUUUGCAUGCGGAAGGUCCCGGUUUCGAUCACCGGCGUGUCCA
This 72-nucleotide transfer RNA is filed under the name Endocarpon pusillum. RNAcentral's name for it is "tRNA-Ala (TGC) (tRNA-Ala-TGC-1-1)". It matches the Rfam family "tRNA". From Rfam's summary of the family: Transfer RNA (tRNA) molecules are approximately 80 nucleotides in length. Their secondary structure includes four short double-helical elements and three loops (D, anti-codon, and T loops). Further hydrogen bonds mediate the characteristic L-shaped molecular structure. tRNAs have two regions of fundamental functional importance: the anti-codon, which is responsible for specific mRNA codon recognition, and the 3' end, to which the tRNAs corresponding amino acid is attached (by aminoacyl-tRNA synthetases). tRNAs cope with the degeneracy of the genetic code in two manners: having more than one tRNA (with a specific anti-codon) for a particular amino acid; and 'wobble' base-pairing, i.e. permitting non-standard base-pairing at the 3rd anti-codon position. The record is from RNAcentral. Lineage: Eukaryota; Fungi; Ascomycota; Eurotiomycetes; Verrucariales; Verrucariaceae. RNAcentral also lists the same sequence under 1 other name.